This is a non-coding RNA of Ornithorhynchus anatinus (platypus), 138 nucleotides long. The record is from Rfam. NCBI's taxonomy places the organism in Eukaryota, Metazoa, Chordata, Mammalia, Monotremata, Ornithorhynchidae.
CUCCUCUCAGGAUCACACCUGGAGAGUUUCCAGUACUCUAUCAGUCUCGGCUAGGGGCGGGAGAGUCAAGCAGAGGCCUGUCCAUUCCAUUCCUAGCUUGGGCAGUGGCUAGCCAGUGGAAGGCAGUCUGCUACAAUU